GACAGAGGCCCCAAGCGUUAGGCGGAAUCACUGGGCCUAAAGCGUGUGUAGGCGGACGCCUAAGUGUCUUGUGAAAUCCCACGGCUCACCCGUGGAACUGCUGGGCAUACUGGGCGUCUUGGGCCAACUAGGGGCAGCCGGAACAAGCGGUGGAGCGGUGAAAUGCGUAGAUAUCGCUUGGAACGCCGAAGGUGAAAACAGGCUGCUGGGGUUGUGCCGACGCUGAGACACGAAAGCCAGGGGAGCAAACGGG
RNAcentral lists this ribosomal RNA (253 nucleotides) under uncultured bacterium. RNAcentral's name for it is "partial 16S ribosomal RNA". It matches the Rfam family "Bacterial small subunit ribosomal RNA", at positions 524 to 776 of the family's 1533-position model. The record is from RNAcentral.